This 468-nucleotide ribosomal RNA is filed under the name uncultured bacterium. RNAcentral's name for it is "partial 16S ribosomal RNA". It matches the Rfam family "Bacterial small subunit ribosomal RNA", at positions 28 to 507 of the family's 1533-position model. The record is from RNAcentral.
GACGAACGCUGGCGGCGUGCUUAACACAUGCAAGUCGAACGGAAAGGCCCUGCUUUUGUGGGGUGCUCGAGUGGCGAACGGGUGAGUAACACGUGAGUAACCUGCCCUUGACUUUGGGAUAACUUCAGGAAACUGGGGCUAAUACCGGAUAGGAGCUCCUGCUGCAUGGUGGGGGUGGGAAAGUUUCGGCGGUUGGGGAUGGACUCGCGGCUUAUCAGAUUGUUGGUGGGGUAGUGGAUUACCAAGGCUUUGACGGGUAGCCGGCCUGAGCGGGUGACCGGCCACAUUGGGACUGAGCUACGGCACAGACUACUACGGGAGGCAGCAGUGGGGAAUAUAGCACAAUGGGCGGAAGCCUGAUGCAGCAACGCAGCGCGCGGGAUGACGGCCUUCGGGUUGUAAACCGCUUUCGCCUGUGACGAAGCGUGAGUGACGGUAAUGGGUAAAGAAGCACCGGCUAACUACGUG